CACAGACAUACCUUGAAUCGACACUUCGGCUUUCAAACCCAGCAACAUCAAGUGGGGCUUUAAGCAUCCUCACCCCUCAGCAAUGUCGUCAAGUUCUUCACUGCCGAGAGCCAGUGUGCUUUGUUCCAAAUACCAGCAGGCCGACCACCGAAAUCUUGAAACCAUUGCACAUAGCUUUUGCCAGCAGUUCCGCCAGUGCUAAGAUGGAGUCGUAACCGUUAAAGCACUCCGGCCACGUCGGACAUCGUGCGUAAAGAAUAUUUGAGGCACUUGCCUAGUACAUCCUGCUCCCUGAAGCUGGCCACUGCAGCAUCGGAAAACGCAAGUUCAUGAUGCUCCGCAUAAAUACGACCAAUGGUGUCUGUCACAAACAGUUUUUGUUCCAUUGGAAAUUAUGACAGAGUGUCGAACUCUGUGCCUAAAGGAGUCUUAUGUUCUGUGCAGUUGUAGGUACAAGGUACUUUGGGGACUUAGACUGGCGUUGGAUCAUAUUGUUUAUUCGAUAGCCAGCGCUCGACUUUACCCUACUUCGUUAAUGACCCCAGGCUGGCCACGACUGUACGUGCAGCUUCAUGUACUUGUUUACCCCACAAUGCGAGCGAUGGUUAAACGCGACGAAGGACUGAUACGCCGCAGACGCAUGAAUUGCGGGAGGGGUUGUCGAAAGUAGUUUGACUAAUGGUAUCAGCCUCUUUGCGUUCGUACCGGCGGUAUUUAGAAGACGAAUCUACAUCACAGCCGCGACUAAAUACAAGGUUUCUGCCUUGCUCGUUCCUUGUACCCGGCUCCACGAGUGUAUCUGAGGGUGCUUGACAGCGCAUGCCGUCUCUAUCGUCAGCGAAACCGUCUUCAGAACAACCAACUACGCAGUUAUGCUGGAAACGAUAUUCAUGAAGGUCUCCCUUCAACCUCAAUUCAGAUGGGCAAAGUGGCAGGAAAGUUUUUUUGUACGAAGGCUAUCAGAUCUAGUGAAUGAAUUAGGAUUGCCAGAGAGGCAAAGGGAGUAUGUGAAUGUGUGAGCGAGAGAAAUACAUUUUGUUUGGAGUCUUUUUCGCGACUUGUGUAUGUUCUCUUUCGCUCGCGUGAGAAUAACGCCAAGAGUGCAGAGAAGCAGAGGUGGACCGUCCUUUUACACCUAUG
Molecule: long non-coding RNA, 1140 nt
Filed under: Toxoplasma gondii VEG
Lineage: Eukaryota; Apicomplexa; Conoidasida; Eucoccidiorida; Sarcocystidae
Source: RNAcentral